This 680-nucleotide ribosomal RNA is filed under the name uncultured Methanoculleus sp. Its description in RNAcentral is "bacterial SSU rRNA". It matches the Rfam family "Archaeal small subunit ribosomal RNA", at positions 193 to 876 of the family's 1478-position model. Lineage: Archaea; Methanobacteriati; Methanobacteriota; Methanomicrobia; Methanomicrobiales; Methanomicrobiaceae. The record is from RNAcentral.
GCUYCCGGCGCCUUAGGAUGGAUCUGCGGCCGAUUAGGUCGUUGUUGGGGUAACGGCCCAACAAGCCGAUAAUCGGUACGGGUUGUGGGAGCAAGAGCCCGGAGUUGGAUUCUGAGACACGAAUCCAGGCCCUACGGGGCGCAGCAGGCGCGAAAACUUUACAAUGCGGGCAACCGUGAUAAGGGAACCUCGAGUGCCUGUACAUGCAGGCUGUCUGGGUGUCUAAAACACACCCAAAGAAAGGGCCGGGCAAGACCGGUGCCAGCCGCCGCGGUAAUACCGGCGGCUCGAGUGGUGGCCACUUUUAUUGGGCUUAAAGCGUUCGUAGCUGGGUUGUUAAGUCUCUUGGGAAAUCUGGCAGCUUAACUGUCAGGCGUCUAAGAGAUACUGGCAAUCUAGGAACCGGGAGAGGUGAGGGGUACUUCGGGGGUAGGAGUGAAAUCCUGUAAUCCUCGAGGGACCACCUGUGGCGAAGGCGCCUCACCAGAACGGCUUCGACAGUGAGGGACGAAAGCUGGGGGAGCAAACCGGAUUAGAUACCCGGGUAGUCCCAGCCGUAAACGAUGCGCGUUAGGUAUGUCGAUGACCACGAGUCAUCGAGGUGCCGAAGGGAAACCGUGAAACGCGCCGCCUGGGAAGUACGGUCGCAAGGCUGAAACUUAAAGGAAUUGGCGGGGGAG